RNAcentral lists this ribosomal RNA (433 nucleotides) under uncultured bacterium. RNAcentral describes it as "bacterial SSU rRNA". It matches the Rfam family "Bacterial small subunit ribosomal RNA", at positions 335 to 765 of the family's 1533-position model. The record is from RNAcentral.
ACUCCUACGGGAGGCAGCAGUGAGGAAUAUUGGACAAUGGUCGGAAGACUGAUCCAGCCAUGCCGCGUGCAGGAAGACUGCCCUAUGGGUUGUAAACUGCUUUUAUACAGGAAGAAUAAGCUCUACGAGUAGAGUGAUGACGGUACUGUAAGAAUAAGCAUCGGCUAACUCCGUGCCAGCAGCCGCGGUAAUACGGAGGAUGCAAGCGUUAUCCGGAAUCAUUGGUUUAAAGGGUCCGUAGGCGGGCUAAUAAGUCAGAGGUGAAAGUUUUGCCGCUCAACGGUAAAAUUGCCUUUGAUACUGUUAGUCUUGAAUGGUUGUGAAGUGGUUAGAAUAAGUAGUGUAGCGGUGAAAUGCAUAGAUAUUACUUAGAAUACCAAUUGCGAAGGCAGAUCACUAACAACUGAUUGACGCUGAUGGACGAAAGCGUGGG